This 100-nucleotide ribosomal RNA is filed under the name bovine gut metagenome. The record is from RNAcentral.
CGGUGGUGAUAACGAAGGGGUCACACCUGUUCCCAUACCGAACACAGAAGUUAAGCCCUUCAGUGCCGAUGGUACUUGGCUGGAGACGGCCCGGGAGAUU